UCGCGAUGAAGCCGGGGCUUGCUCUGGUGGAUUAGUGGCGAACGGGUGAGUAACACGUGAGCAACCUGCCCUGGACUCUGGGAUAAGCGCUGGAAACGGCGUCUAAUACUGGAUACGAGACGUGGCCGCAUGGUCAACGUUUGGAAAGAUUUUUCGGUCUGGGAUGGGCUCGCGGCCUAUCAGCUUGUUGGUGAGGUAAUGGCUCACCAAGGCGUCGACGGGUAGCCGGCCUGAGAGGGUGACCGGCCACACUGGGACUGAGACACGGCCCAGACUCCUACGGGAGGCAGCAGUGGGGAAUAUUGCACAAUGGGCGCAAGCCUGAUGCAGCAACGCCGCGUGAGGGAUGACGGCCUUCGGGUUGUAAACCUCUUUUAGCAGGGAAGAAGCGAAAGUGACGGUACCUGCAGAAAAAGCGCCGGCUAACUACGUGCCAGCAGCCGCGGUAAUACGUAGGGCGCAAGCGUUAUCCGGAAUUAUUGGGCGUAAAGAGCUCGUAGGCGGUUUGUCGCGUCUGCUGUGAAAUCCCGAGGCUCAACCUCGGGCCUGCAGUGGGUACGGGCAGACUAGAGUGCGGUAGGGGAGAUUGGAAUUCCUGGUGUAGCGGUGGAAUGCGCAGAUAUCAGGAGGAACACCGAUGGCGAAGGCAGAUCUCUGGGCCGUAACUGACGCUGAGGAGCGAAAGGGUGGGGAGCAAACAGGCUUAGAUACCCUGGUAGUCCACCCCGUAAACGUUGGGAACUAGUUGUGGGGCCUUUCCACGGAUUCCGUGACGCAGCUACGCAUUAAGUUCCCCGCCUGGGGAGUACGCCGCAAGGCUAAAACUCAAAGGAAUUUGACGGGGA
Molecule: ribosomal RNA, 845 nt
Filed under: Microbacterium resistens
Lineage: Bacteria; Bacillati; Actinomycetota; Actinomycetes; Micrococcales; Microbacteriaceae
Description: bacterial SSU rRNA
Rfam family: Bacterial small subunit ribosomal RNA
Source: RNAcentral